CGGUAGUGGGCGAAACCUGCCCUGUACUGGGGAAUAAUCAUUGGAAACGAAUGACUAAUACCGCAUGUGGUCCUCGGAAGGCAUCUUCUGAGGAAGAAAGGAUUUAUUCGGUACAGGAUGGGCCCGCAUCUGAUUAGCUAGUUGGUGAGAUAACAGCCCACCAAGGCGACGAUCAGUAGCCGACCUGAGAGGUGAUCGGCCACAUUGGGACUGAGACACGGCCCAA
Molecule: ribosomal RNA, 226 nt
Filed under: uncultured bacterium
Lineage: Bacteria
Description: partial 16S ribosomal RNA
Rfam family: Bacterial small subunit ribosomal RNA
Source: RNAcentral